This 421-nucleotide ribosomal RNA is filed under the name Verrucomicrobiota bacterium. RNAcentral's name for it is "Verrucomicrobia bacterium partial 16S ribosomal RNA". It matches the Rfam family "Bacterial small subunit ribosomal RNA", at positions 355 to 776 of the family's 1533-position model. Lineage: Bacteria; Pseudomonadati; Verrucomicrobiota. The record is from RNAcentral.
UGGGGAAUUUUGCACAAUGGGCGCAAGCCUGAUGCAGCGACGCCGCGUGAGGGAUGAAGGCCUUCGGGUUGUAAACCUUUUUCGCUCAUGGUCAAGCCGCAGCUUUGGGUUGUGGUGAGGGUAGUGGGUAAAGAAGCGCCGGCUAACUACGUGCCAGCAGCCGCGGUAAUACGUAGGGCGCGAGCGUUGUCCGGAAUCACUGGGCGUAAAGGGUUCGCAGGCGGAAAUGCAAGUCAGGUGUAAAAGGCAGUAGCUUAACUACUGUAAGCAUUUGAAACUGCAUAUCUUGAGAAGAGUAGAGGUAAGUGGAAUUUUUAGUGUAGCGGUGAAAUGCGUAGAUAUUAAAAAGAAUACCGGUGGCGAAGGCGACUUACUGGGCUCAUUCUGACGCUGAGGAACGAAAGCGUGGGUAGCAAACAGG